AACGAACGCUGGCGGCAGGCUUAACACAUGCAAGUCGAACGCAUGCCUUCGGGCAUGAGUGGCAGACGGGUGCGUAACGCGUGGGAACCUACCCCUUGGUACGGGAUAGCUCCGGGAGACUGGAGAUAAUACCGUAUGUGUCCUGAGGGACAAAGAUUCAUCGCCAAGGGAUGGGCCCGCGUCGGAUUAGCUAGUUGGUGGGGUAACGGCCUACCAAGGCGACGAUCCGUAGCUGGUCUAAGAGGAUGAUCAGCCACAUUGGGACUGAGACACGGCCCAAACUCCUACGGGAGGCAGCAGUGGGGAAUAUUGGACAAUGGGCGCAAGCCUGAUCCAGCCAUGCCGCGUGAGUGAUGAAGGCCCUAGGGUUGUAAAGCUCUUUCACCGGUGACGAUAAUGACGGUAACCGGAGAAGAAGCCCCGGCUAACUUCGUG
RNAcentral lists this ribosomal RNA (435 nucleotides) under uncultured bacterium. RNAcentral describes it as "partial 16S ribosomal RNA". It matches the Rfam family "Bacterial small subunit ribosomal RNA", at positions 29 to 507 of the family's 1533-position model. The record is from RNAcentral.